Molecule: ribosomal RNA, 489 nt
Filed under: Goja sp. 12.4.2003.3
Lineage: Eukaryota; Metazoa; Arthropoda; Insecta; Psocodea; Epipsocidae
Description: partial 16S ribosomal RNA
Source: RNAcentral
GUCUUUAUGAAAGAAUGUAAAGUCUAAUCUGCUCACUGAUUACUUAAAGAGCCGCAGUAUUUUGACUGUGCAAAGGUAGCAUAAUCAAUAGUUUUUUAAUUGGAAACUUGAAUGAAAGAUUGAAUGAAAAACAAUUUUUUUUUAAUAAAAUAAAUUUAAAUUAAAUUUUGAGUGAAAAUUCUUAAUUAAAUUUAAAAGACGAGAAGACCCUAUAGAUUUUUAUUAUUUUUAAACUUGAAUAUAAAUUUAGUUUAAUAAUAAUUUAAUUGGGGUGAUUUUGUAAUAUAAAAAACUUAAUAUUAAUAAACCAUAAAUGAUUGAAUUUUUUGAACUAAAAUUUUUAAUUGAAAGAUUAAAUUACCUUAGGGAUAACAGCGUAAUUUUAUUUAAGAGUUCAUAUUUAUAAUAGAGUUUGCGACCUCGAUGUUGAAUUAAGAUAUAUAUUGAAGUAGAAUGUAAUAUUUUUAGUCUGUUCGACUAUUAAAAUCU